CAUGAAGGAAAGGAAGAUUUUGUGUCUAUUCCUUUUAGUUUUCUUCAUUUUUUCUUCUAUAAAUCGUACAAAUGCUUUGAGAUGCUACGCCUGCAACUACUUACAGGCCCAGCAUAAUGACACAUCUUGCAUUAAUAAUUCUAAAAAUAAUAAUGGAAGGAAUGUUAUUUUUUGUGCGGAGAAAUUCUGCACAAUUACGAGGCAAAAAUCAAUCAAAUAUCCCUAUGGGCAGAUUUAUAGCUUCUCAAGAUCCUGCGAGGAAUCACCUUUGUUUCUCAACACUGCCAUCAUCUAUGGCUUCUAUAAAUAUUAUUUUCAAGCCUGUACGACAGAUUUGUGCAACAACGAAAGUGGCAUUCAGUUUGAAAUAACCGAUCGCUGGCCUUGGUGGGCUGAUGCUGCUAAUCCUCAAGGAAAUAUUAUUGUCCCAGGAAUUGAGGGAAGAAGUUCCCACAGUGUCCCUGGAAAGAUUCUUUUAGUUGUUCUUUUCUUACUUAUUUUGGUGAAUUUCAAUUAAAUGAUUGGUUGACA
This is a long non-coding RNA of Lutzomyia longipalpis, 531 nucleotides long. RefSeq lists it as uncharacterized. The transcript has 4 exons. Lineage: Eukaryota; Metazoa; Arthropoda; Insecta; Diptera; Psychodidae. The record is from RefSeq and is a predicted model, not a curated record.